UCUAUAGUCCUAGGUUCAAGAUCUCAUUUUUCAUCUGACCAAAAGAUCCAACUGACAAUACCAAAUAAGCUAGACAAUUUUGUCUCCUCAAACUUAAUCCGGUACCAACAGAUCACCAAAUGCUCUUACAAGUCCAUCACUUGAUGCACAGGUCGCCAAUCGCACCAUGCGAUACCAACCAUCGGUGAUACCCAACACCUGUCUCCACAAGACCCUGUCGCUGUCGUCCUACCAUGGACCCUAGCGAUCGAUGUUCCGAGCAACACCAAAUGCCUGUCUCCUUGAGACCCAGGCGCACCUGUCAUCAAAUAACCGGAC
This 318-nucleotide long non-coding RNA is filed under the name Ananas comosus (pineapple). RNAcentral's name for it is "long non-coding RNA (ACOM_LNC036093)". Lineage: Eukaryota; Viridiplantae; Streptophyta; Magnoliopsida; Poales; Bromeliaceae. The record is from RNAcentral.